RNAcentral lists this microRNA precursor (96 nucleotides) under Nicotiana sylvestris (wood tobacco). Its description in RNAcentral is "MIR6152 microRNA precursor family". It matches the Rfam family "MIR6152 microRNA precursor family". Lineage: Eukaryota; Viridiplantae; Streptophyta; Magnoliopsida; Solanales; Solanaceae. The record is from Rfam by way of RNAcentral. RNAcentral also lists the same sequence under 1 other name.
UGGACAAAUUAUUGUAUUCGACUGUAUUCAUGGCGUGAAACAGAGGAUUACACUAUUUUUAAACGGAAAGUGAAUCAAUUAACAUAAUAGACUCCU